RNAcentral lists this ribosomal RNA (417 nucleotides) under uncultured prokaryote. Its description in RNAcentral is "bacterial SSU rRNA". It matches the Rfam family "Bacterial small subunit ribosomal RNA", at positions 74 to 478 of the family's 1533-position model. The record is from RNAcentral.
UUUCUUCGGAGAACGAGUAAAGUGGCGCACGGGUGAGUAACGCGUAAGUAAUCUACCCUUGCAUUUGGGAUAACUACGGGAAGCUGUAGCUAAUCCCGGAUNCNUUCAUAGAGUUACGACUCUAUGAAGAAAGAUGACCUCUUCUUGAAAGUUAUCGUGCAGGGAGGAGCUUGCGUACCAUUAGCUAGUUGGUAGGGUAAUGGCCUACCAAGGCGACGAUGGUUAGCGGGUCUGAGAGGAUGAUCCGCCACACUGGAACUGAAACACGGACCAGACUCCUACGGGAGGCAGCAGUGAGGAAUAUUGCGCAAUGGGGGAAACCCUGACGCAGCGACGCCGCGUGGAUGAUGAAGGCCUUCGGGUCGUAAAAUCCUGUCAGAUGGGAAGAAAUGUAUGUGGGAAUAAUACCUCUUGUGC